AGUGUGUGUGUGUGUGUGUGUGUGUGUGUGUGCAUGUGCAGGGCCGUGUGGACUAGGCCAGGCCACACGGACAAGGGGAAAGUGGCUAAGCCGUGGGGAUUCCUUAGUCCACCACCGGGGGAAGGGCUCACCUGGGCACCUGCAUCCCUCUGCUUGGCGGGAUGGAGGAUCCAGAGUUUGUGCUCUCUGGGUGCUGACAGGCCUGGGGCGGCCGCGAGCUCGCCUUGCUGGCAGGCCGUUGUUCCUCCCGUCAGCGUCGGCAGGUCCAGCGCACGUGUGGUUCUGGAAGCCUGAUCUUCCUGUGGAAACAGCCGGACAUGCGGUGCUCAUUUACACAAAGAAUCCGCACAAAGGCCCGGAAGAGCUGGCUUUAGUUUUGCACUUGAAUUGCUUUUCUUCUGUUGCAGCCUGUGUGCCUGCAUGCAGCCUGUGUGCAAUCUGUGUGCAUCCUGUGUGCUGGAGCAGCGGCUGGUGAUUAGAAGUCCCGGCUAUUUUCUGGGGUCAACAGCAGAUCCAAGAUCAUCUCAGCAACUCUCUGCCUGAAAACAAGCUCUGGGAGGGCACCGCCCAGGUCACCUCCGGCUUCUGGAGCAACGGUGCUGGAAGGGCUCAACCCCCGGACCCAGGCUUCGGGAUCCAUUAAAACGUGAAGUCACCUGCGCCCUGAGCAGGCGCUGUUGCAGGAGAGCGCCUUGGCCAUGGCCCCCAGCGGACACCCCGCCAGGCUCUUCCAGCUCCGCUCAUGAGGGGAAAGUUCAAAGCCAAACAGAGUUGUUUCCUCUGCUGCCCGCGUGCACUCUCUGGGGACCUAAUCACAGCGCCCCUGCCCCAAGCAUCUACCAUCACUCCGCAAACACUCCUUCCGGCUUCAGCUUUCUACCUGCUCCACAGUCUGAAUCUUGGCAAUUUGGGGUUUGCAACGAAGGUGAGGAGAUGGGAGGCCUGUGUGCAGGCAUGUGCGUGCAUGUGUGUGUGUGUACACUGCGUGUGCGUGCAUGCACGUGUGUGUGCCUGCCCACAUACCACCUUCCACACAGCUCUGGAAACCAGGUUAGAAAAGGUUUUCUUUGAAUGUCUGGAGGGUGGGGACAGGAGGAUGAAAGACCAGGUUCCACACCAGCUGUGGCGGGAGUGGCCCUUGGGUCAGGCUCGUGGGACCAGGCCUCCCUGA
RNAcentral lists this long non-coding RNA (1171 nucleotides) under Sus scrofa (pig). Its description in RNAcentral is "lncRNA (ENSSSCG00070015015.1)". Lineage: Eukaryota; Metazoa; Chordata; Mammalia; Artiodactyla; Suidae. The record is from RNAcentral.